UGUGUUCUAAUAAAACUUUAUUUAUGGACAUUAAAAUGCCACAUUUUCGCAUGUCACAAAAUAUUCUUCUUUUGAAGUUUUCAAUCGUUGAAAAUGUAAAAAGCAUUUUUCCCUCACAGACCGUACAAAAGCAGGCAUGGAGGCAAUACUGUGGCCUCUGGGCCAUCGUUCGUACACACCUUCCCCAAAAGGCUCAGAUAGGCGAGAGAGCAGGGAGGCUCCAGAGUUGGCUGGAGUCUAGUUGGCUGAGUCCAGUCACUCAGGUUGGCUGCAGCCCAGGAGUCCCAGGAGCGAGGAGCAGCAGGGCUGGGCCAAGAGUGGAGAGGGCUGAGGACAAACCCAUAGGGCCUCGAAGGCCCCAGGAAGAGAUGUUGUCACAGCUGACUCAGCCCCGUGCUCAGACUCCAGUGUUACCAGGUCCUGAAUGUGAGACGCAGGCGUCUGCUUCUCCGAGCUUCAGUUACUUCAGCUGUAAAAUGGGACACUGGCAUUGACCUUGAAGGUCAUGAUGCAUGGAAAGAGAGGGUUAGAUCUUGUGAAAGGGGCUGAGGCUGGUGCCUAUCCCGCACUUGAAGGGCUCAGCACUGGGUUCCCAAGGCCCUUUUUAAGAUCCAAUUUCCCUGGUGCUUUGAGGAGGGUGGGGGACAUCAGAAGACCCUCUUGCUGGGAACAUCCACUUCCCGAUGCCUCCUCCUUUGACGUCGUGAGCCACAGGCCACCAAGCAGGUUCUGCGGCAGCA
Molecule: long non-coding RNA, 740 nt
Filed under: Homo sapiens (human)
Lineage: Eukaryota; Metazoa; Chordata; Mammalia; Primates; Hominidae
Description: non-protein coding lnc-RHOB-11:1
Source: RNAcentral